Non-coding RNA from Anas platyrhynchos (mallard), 8574 nucleotides. Lineage: Eukaryota; Metazoa; Chordata; Aves; Anseriformes; Anatidae. The record is from RefSeq and is a predicted model, not a curated record.
GACUGAGCAAGGGAGCAAACAGAAAAGGCAACAAGGGCCCUGAGCUGCAGCCAGACAUGGUCAGAGACUGACCCUGAGAACAGAACACAGAAGGGAGAAAGAAUAAUGCUAGCACCUCAUGUGAUUUGCUGCAAGGCUGCACGAACACCUCCUACAGAGGCAGAAGUGGGUGGCCAGGAGGGGGUAAGGAGUGUGGAAACAAACCCAGAAGAGCAGAAUGAGCUCCCACCCCCAAAAAAACGACUGUUUUCACUACACAUUGCAUUCUUGUUACGGCCACCAGCGUACUGCUUUCAUUCACCUAACCCUGCACUAUUCAGAAGGAAGCAGCUAAGGAGGAACUUAUUCUCAAAAUACUAUUUUGGGAAGAAAUGUUACUUCAGGUGGCAAGAAGUGACAAGCUCUGAGCACACAGGUUUCCCCUUCCAUGUCCGCAGAGAGAGAGGUACACCGUGUGUGAUUUAUCUUAUUGCAGACCUCCAAAAAAACUUCAGAUGAACCAGGCCUGGAAUUGCUUCAUUCCCUCCAGUGGCUAAAUGGAGCAUAAGUGAUUACAAAACAGACCUCUAACUGGAAAAUUCACUCCAGCUCCUUAGAGAAAUAAGAUGUGAGAAUGUCUGCAAAUUUGUUGAUUUGGGUAAUGCAUUUUUUUCGACAUGUUUAGGCAAGCACCUACUAGACGUGAGUAUCUUAGGGUGAUUCCAACAAUCAGGUAUCGCAGCUGUGACAUUGUUACCAUAAGCUGCAGCUCAAAAAUUCCUCCAGACUACUUGAAAUGUGCUCCCCAUCAAUAUCAGGUAAGGACAUGUCUCCUUCUUUUCCUUUCUGUUUGCAGGGAGGGGGCAGGGGAGCAAACCACAUCUUCUGCAAUUCAAAACUGCCAGAGUUCCCGUAUGAGUUUCUUAUAGUAUGCUGGGAUCUUUAGGAACAGGGGAUCUUGUUUCACACACAUCUGUCUUUUUCGAACCCACAUCACCACAACAGCAAACACUUGGUUUUAGUGACCCCCUGUGCCAGUACUUGUGUCUCAUUGGGAAGGGAAAGGAUUUUCCUCACUUGGCAGGUGAACGUCUAGAUCGUGUCUCAUAUUCCAUCUUCUCAGAGCCAAGGCUUGCAGAACAUGCAUUAUGAAGGCAGCAGUCUUACAGCCUCGGGAGAAUGAGCCUAUGUUAUUAAACCUGUGCUUUUUUCUUUUUGCAACAGUGUUUUUCAACCUGUGGUCUCUGUACCUCUGGGAGUCUGUAGAAUACUUCCAAGAGGUCCAUGAAAAACAACUAACAGAAGCAAGCCUAUUGUCAGUUGGUUUAAAUUCUCUAUUCAAAGAUCCAUACUUCUUCUGUAAAAAUUUUAGGGGGCUUGUAAAUUGAAAACUGAUGAAAACUGCAGCUCUAUAAUGUCACGGAGUAAUUUUUCUAAAUGCUCACAUGCAUGAAGGGUCAGAGAGUGAAUUAUUCAGGCUUGGUGGUUAGCACAGUCACUUAGGGAACAGCAGUUGCCCCAGUAAGCAUUUAAUUAUUUUGUAUAAAUGAGAGUCUGAACAAGAUCAACCUCAGAAUAUCAGAUAGUGCAGUAAUUAGGAAAACCUUUAGGAAGGUGAGAGGCUCAAACUGGGCAAGAAAAAACUUGAAGUUCAGCACAUCGUGGGCAAUGUCCCUGUGUUCCCAAUACUGGAUAUAAAAGCAACCCUUUUCCACCCCUCUCUCUAAUUGAUGUUUGGUGCUGCGUGAGAUCUGGUAAACAUAUCUUGUAGUGCACGUGCUCAGUGGUGGAGCAGUUAUAUGCAUUCAUGGCUUUGAGUGUGGUAAUCUGGAUAUACAGGCUCAAGAAGCACUGCAGCCCGUGUGCUGAGGAUCCGUAUCUGCGAGUGAGGUACCACGAGAUGCUCUGUGAUUAAGCCCUUCAUGAUUUGCCCAAGGCCACGCAGGAGGUCUUUGGUAGAGCAAGAAUGUAAGGCUGAGUUUGCCAAACAUGAGGCCAGUAUCUUAAUUAUAGGGCUGUGCGUCUUUAUUUGUAAGACAUACUUUAUUUUUAUUUUAUUUUUUUUUUACAAGAGAGGCAGUGAGCAGAUUAAGGGUAAGCAAGAGAUGUUUUUUUUCCCCACAGACAGUUUUAAAAGGGAACCAGUAACACAGGAGUACUCUCAACAAGCAAGCUGUGCCAAAUGGGAAGAAGGAGAGAAGGACCAAGCUCUGGGUAGGAUGUGCAAAGGACAGAUGGUGCAGAAAGAAGUGCGGGGUUAGGCUUGUAGAUCCGUGGGGGUUUUACAAAGAAAAGGGGUUUUCCUGCUGCCCCAUAUUGUGCUUCCUAUUGGGUUUCCACAUAGAGUUCAUAGCAUCCUAAUGAGAGCCAGACAAUGAUAGGCUCAUGGUUCUAGUAGAGAAAAUAUUUGGUUAAAAAAAUGGGAUCAACUUUGAGGAUGAACAGCUUCUUAUUCCUAGAAAGAGCUGUAAUUGAAAUCAAGACAAUCUACUACUUCCCAAGGGCUUUGUCAUACUGUUCAGACAUCCUGAGGAACCGUAAUUGGAUUUUUACCAUAAACAAGUGUUGAGAAACAUGUUUCUUAUUUAGGUUGCUUCAUGUGUUCAUGUCCUUUUUUGCUUCCUUGUUAGUCAACAGAAUUUCUGUUGACACAAGUGGGAACAGGAAGUAAAUAUUUCAAGUGGGGAAGGGCAAACCUCCGAAAGUUCACAGAGCUCAAAACUAUUAACCUAUUCUGGGGAUUUGAAAAACAAAAUGUUUACCUUCACAAACUUGUUUUGUCUGUAACUUAAAUGUCUUUUCUCUCCCAUGCUGUUUAAGGAGAUUACAUUUCAAAAACAAAGGGAUUUUCUAGGGAGCCAAUUUAUGUAUUAAAGAUGACUGACAAAAGCAAAGCAGCCACAGCUCAGUCCUCUGUAAAGAUCUGUGUAUGUCCUUUCAUCAGAUUUCCCAGCAUUUCCUCUGUUUUAUUUAUUAUGUUUUUUUUUUGUAUUUAUUUUGUAUUUAUUGUUUGUAUUUAUUUGUAUAUUUUUGUUCAUAUGUUUUUGUUUGUAUUUAUUAUAUUUAUUGCAGCCUCUGUUUGUUUCUGUGCCUUUUCAUUUAUUGUGUCUCUGCCAACUUCUCUUGUGUGUGUUUUGCAUUUUCUAGUGGGAGGUUAUAUUCUGUUUAGAAAACAUGAAUCCAAUAAUGUGGGAAGUAACUUUCAAACCGAAUUUAUUGGCAUUGUCAAAGAAUUUGGACAGUUUCAAACUUCAAGGGAAGUACAGCUCAGAAAGAAAAUGUUUAGAUAUGCUAAAGCUUAGAUGAUCACGAGUUAUUCUUCUUCAAAUUUACCUUUCCUGUCAAUGGCAUUUUGACACUUAGACCUGAGUCACUUUUGCAGAGUGGGUGCUGUGCUUGUAAGUGAAUAAAGUUCCUGUUGGUAUUGCAGUAACAGCCAAGUGACUGAUCACAAUAUGGAGAUCUUCUUCUGAGUCAUGAGGUGUUUUAACUGGAAAAUACUGAAUUCUGGAGAGCCACAAGGAACAGACACCGUCAACAGAAUCUGCUGGAGGUAUUUUAGCCACCUAAUUAAUUUUCAAUAAAUGCUUCCAAUAGGUAAUUUGCUUCUGGCCAAAUGUAAAUCAACCGGAGACAAAUAGGGUUAAAAUUAGAAAUGUGUGAUGGGGACAAUGUUUAUGGACAAAAUAACCUGGCACUCCUAGAAAUAACUUGCUGACAGUAAUAGAAAAUUAGACCACACAGAUGUUAACAAAAACUGAGCAUUGCAUGUCACAUGGCCCCAGUAGAGUUCCUCCAGCUGGACACAGAACUGGCUCCUGUGCGUGGGUCUCACCGCACAAGGCCUGCCCAUCCUUAAUUUUCCCUUGGUAUGGAUCGUGUCUCACAUGGCCUCAGUUCUCUAUCUGGCAUGCUCCUACCAUUGCAUGCUGUCACCAUUUGCAAUCUUACUUGAGACCUCCACAGCGCCUCAGAGACACUCCAGCUGGUAUGAAUAUCCUCUGCAGAGCUCCAGGCUUUCACAUUCCCUAGUCUUAGAGGUCAUCUCUUCAAAGGCAUGCGGUAGCUGAAACACAGAUACCUGAUAAGUAAAGUUUUCAAAUUUUAUUAAUUAGAAACAGUGUUGAGCUACUUCAGCUUCUGAAAGACAUACACAAGUUUUGAAGAAAAAAAAUGUGUUGCAUAUUUGCUUUUUAAAGUUUCUUCACCCAUCUCAUGUGCUCUUCGCUCAGAACCUUCUAAUUCUUGGAUAAACCCUCUUGUCUUUUCCUCUAGAAAACAAAGUCUGUGUCUGUCCCUCCCUAAAAGGGGCUGGUAAGAGAUUCUUACAACUUCCAGCCUCCCAUGCUGGGUAGCCCUUGGACAGGUCUGUCAAAUGGCCAGGGUCCCCAUGGAGCAACAUGGCAACUUCUUGCCCUGAAAUUCAAACUAUAAUAAGUUUGACCUGGAUAGUAGUAGACUGUUUACCAAAGGAGACUUUCAUAUGGAAAGAAGAUCAUUGAGGUUUGAUGCCUCUUUAUUACGGGUCUUACAUCACUUGCCUUUGUAAUUUGGGAUAAAUUAGACAACUUGGUUUAGAGAGUAUUACAGGCUUGGUGUUACUUGCUACGGAGAGUGCCUGUGAUCUGCGGGUACUGGAACAGCCUUCAGAUCAGCCUUCACAUAAACAGGGAAAUAUCUCAAAGCUGGCAUUCAUGGGCAAACUAGCAGCAGCACUAAUAAGAUGUGGUGGAUUUGCAUGACAUUUCUGGCCUGAAAAACAGGUCACAGAUAGCUAUGCGGUACUGGACAUGACAAACAUAGGCAGCUAAUAAAUAAACAUAUGGACAAGUCACCUUCAGAGGCAUUUACCUGUCUAGAAGGAAGCUUGCUUGAAUAUUUAGGAUUAUCUGAAAGCAAAAGUCAACUGACACAGGCUUGCAAUUUGUAUAAUCUUCUCUAAACAUAAAGGUGACAAAGCGAACUAUCACAAUUCUCCAGGCAUGUUCCUAGCCUCUGUUACUGGAAAGAUCCUCCCAUAGUCUUCCUGAAUGCUCUCAAUAUUUUCCUGAGUUUCGGUGGAUUUAGGUCUGGCCACGCUCUAUUGAUGGGAUCUCUGUCAACUUCAGGAAAAGGGCUUGGGAGCAGAUUUGCUGGUUGGUCUAGCAGGAGCUUUUAACAGCAUAAAAUCAUGAGGGGGUCUGGAAAAUUUUGUUCAUCUUUCUGAAGUCUCUGAAGUUUAUUUCUGUCACUUUAUUUUUCCGUGAUGGCCAGUGUAUGGAAAAUGGCAACAUAUCAGACUCCAUUCCUGUCUCAAGCAGCCCCAAACAAGGUUGUGUGCUGGCUCCCACGCUGUUUUCCUUCUUUUUCUUGGCUGUGCUGGCGGAGGCAUUUUGCUGACAUUGAGAGAGGAGUAUUUAUUUAGUUCUAUACCAAUGGAAAGUUUCUCCAUCUGCAGUGCUGCUCAUCAGAGAUCUUCUUUUUUUCAAAUGACUUUAUGCUGGUAACCUCUUCAGCUGAAGACAUUUGUUUAAUCAAUGACCAUUUUGCUGAGCAGUCAGUCAAGCUGGUUUCAUGACUGGACAACAGAAUGCCCAUUUCUGCUUCUCUCCUGUCCAGGAGAGCUGCAUAAGGUUGCUGCCACAGAAGGCCCUACAUGCUGACAAGACGAGCCAUUGCACAGCUUCGCAUUUUGGCUGUGGUUGCACCUCUGUAGAACAUCCAGGUUGUGAAACUAAGUAGUAAUAACAAUGUCUGUCAAAACGUCCAGCUCAUAAUAAUCCUUUCUGGUUGUGAGACAUGGGUUGCUCCCUCGGAAUACCGAAGCUACAUAGCCUAUGUGCUUUGGUUUGUCCUAUUUGUGAGAUUAAAUGCUGAGGGGAAAUACCUAGUACUCAAAUCCAUGUAUAUUGACAAGUUUUUUCCUAGCUGAGAGCUGAAAAUGCCUGGACACCUUACAAUACGGCUUGAAAAUUCUUAAGGAAAUAUUUUAUGCUCAAAGCCACCAAAGCAGCUGUUCCCAUUUUGCUGGGAUAAUGCAAAGCCAUCUGGAAAUUUUGCUGGAUUGACCCCCACUGAGGAGGCAGCAGCCCACAACUGAGCAAGGUGGUGGCAGUGGUUCUGUAAACGUCUUUGGAACAAGUUGUGAGUCGUACAAAGAAAGAACACCAUGCCUUGAUAUCCUGGAUAAUUCCGCUUGUUCCACGUCCAGCUAUUCUUAUGACUUUUGCAUAGGUCUGGUUUCCAGCAUACCUGUCCAAGUUGCCUGUUUUCUGGAUUCACUUAUGCUGAAAUCAGCAUGAGACUUCAUCGUUUUGAUGAGAUAACAAGGAAUGCAGCAAUGGCUUCUACUCUUGGCCAAAGAGUCUUUAACCUUGUUGCCUGUGGAGGAAAAUGGACAGAAAAGCUGCAUUUUAGCUCUGAUGGUUGAAGAUAAGAAACAUACUCUGGGCUGCUAGCAGCUAUUUCUUUCUUUGGAACAAGGUCACAAGCAUGAUAAGUGAAACACCAAGAAAUGGAUAUUCAAAGUUGCAUAUAUUUUCCCUUGAUGUAUUUGAUGUAUUCUAACCUGGGAAAACACCAUGCUGUCUGACUGACCCAGCAUCAUCCACCUUCUAUAUUCCACCUUCACUGAUAUCUAAAGAGUGGUGAGCAGGAAAGGACCUGUUUGCUGAUGAAAUGAAUGAGAAAAAAAAAAAAAAAAAAAGUGGGAGAAAAACUUUUCCUGUGGUUUCUAGAUCUAGCUGAAACUGAGCUGCGGGGGACCUGGCAUUCAGAAGAGCUGUACAUCCAUGUUUGUAACGGAGCUGGAAGAAACAAAACACAGUGAACCAGGACAUGCUGUGCACAUACAGCAAUUGGGAUAGCGUGAGCCAAGGAGGUGACUCUGGGUCAUUUCCAGCUCUGGUUGCACGUGAGGCUCUAACAGUUACGUUUCAGGAGCUACAUCUCAGAAUUCCUCAGUACCAUUUGUGAGACAACUGUGCUUGAACCUGCAGCGGUGUUUGUUGUCUGAGCCUAUACUCUGAUUCGAAAGGGGAAGAGUAUCACUGUGGUACCCACCAUGAAGUGGGGAUGGGGACCUGCAGGAUCUCUUCCUCUGCUGACACCCAGAUCCUUGGAGAAAGAAAAACGAUCCAGUGGAAGCAAAUGGAAGGAAUAACGUGCUUCGUGAAAUGCCCAGUAACUGGUUUGAAAGACCCAUUCUUGCAAGGGGAGCUGGAUGCAGAUGGACGUGAAACAGGAGAGGGAGCCGUUGCAUGCUACCGGCCGUUCUGCUGCUCAGGAACAGCACCAGGAGAUCCGUGCCCUCUUCGCAGUCCAUUUCUUGAACAACUGUGUGUCAUCGGCCGACUGCUCAGGAAACCAUGCAGCUGGGCAGGAAGCACCAGGAAGAGCUCAGCCUCCCUGAACUCUUUGAGGGCACAAAAUGAAUCAACUUGCCCGUGUCUGGAGCCAGUUCUCCGAGCUCCUGCUGUGGAGGAGAAGAGAAGCCGUGCUCCUGGAGACACCCCAGCUCCUGCCAGGCACCGAGAGCUGUGCAAGGAGGUUCAAUGCAGCAGCCAUCACCAGAUGGUGCUGCUGCAUGCAGCCUCGCAAGGUCACCCUGUGAAGGGAUGUUUUGUUUCUUGGAAGAAAACACUGAACUGGGGAUGUUUCUCCACUGCUUGGGUGUCUGGAGAGUAGGCAGGGUAUGUUCUGACGUUAUGUCACUAGCCGGGUCUCUUUGAGAAUGGGUCAUUUGGGUUUUGGCUGGGAAUUCAGAAUAGGGGUGGGUUCAGAUGCUGUUCGAGAUGAUCUGUUCCAGACUGGCUCAAGUGGAUAAACAAAAUUAAUUAUGUUCACAUCAGAUGAGUGCACAGGAUCAAUUUUUUCCUCCAAUGGAAAACUGGCUGGCAAUGUGUACUGCUGCUAAUCAUAAACAUAUCACUAUAGUUCACCUGCAUUUUCUGUAAGCUUUACAAUACUGUUGCUGUUUUUUUUAAUGCCCAGGUUCAGGAAUCGUUAUCACAUGAGAAUCCAGUAUGCCACUGUGUAGAAAAAGGAAUGUCCCCUUUCCUACUUCUUUUGUAUGUAAAAAUCCAGCGCAGCAAAGAACUUCAGCUUCUGUGAUUAAGCAGAGGAAACAGCAUCGCCUGAACCUUUAACUACCAGAUUUUGUUUUCUCCCUGUUUGUGUCAGUAAAUACGUGAUUACUUCUAACAAGUUGCUUGGGAAGGCUUUCAUCUCUGCUUCCUCAGAAAAAGGUCAAGGGAAAUGGCUAAGCCAAAAAUUGUUCUUCUUAAAUCAGCAUUCUUGAUUGCUAUUGCACUGAGCUCUCUGAAGGCCUCUGGGCAGAGUAAAAUCUAUGUUUGAUGAUUUGAAGUUUACAGAGUAGGCGCUCCAGACUUUAUAAGGCCUUCAGCCUCGUCCCGUGGACAUUCAUGGUUGGUGCUUCAAAGUUCACUGUCUUCAGGUCUCAUCUGCAGUCAUCACAGAGUCAUGAUGAAGUACUGUAAGAACACUUACAACACUUUGACCAUCCUGGUCAGUACAGGAUCUGCCCAGACUCCAAGGGACAGCUCACGGCUAGGAAGGACAGAGAUGAUGAAAGUGCGAAAUGACAAAUGAUGAUGC